AUUGAACGCUGGCGGCAGGCCUAACACAUGCAAGUCGAGCGGAUGAAGGGAGCUUGCUCCUGGAUUCAGCGGCGGACGGGUGAGUAAUGCCUAGGAAUCUGCCUGGUAGUGGGGGAUAACGUCAGGUAACGGGCGCUAAUACCGCAUACGUUCUGAGGGAGAAAGUGGGGGAUCUUCGGACCUCACGCUAUCAGAUGAGCCUAGGUCGGAUUAGCUAGUUGGUGGGGUAAAGGCCUACCAAGGCGACGAUCCGUAACUGGUCUGAGAGGAUGACCAGUCACACUGGAACUGAGACACGGUCCAGACUCCUACGGGAGGCACCAGUGGGGAAUAUUGGACAAUGGGCGAAGGCCUGAUCCAGCCAUGCCGCGUGUGUGAAGAAGGUCUUCGGAUUGUAAAGCACUUUAAGUUGGGAGGAAGGGGAGUAAGUUAAUACCUUGCUGUUUUGACGGUACCAACAGAAUAAGCACCGGCUAACUUCGUG
Molecule: ribosomal RNA, 484 nt
Filed under: uncultured bacterium
Lineage: Bacteria
Description: partial 16S ribosomal RNA
Rfam family: Bacterial small subunit ribosomal RNA
Source: RNAcentral